GAUAAACGCUAGCGGCAGGCUUAACACAUGCAAGUCGAGGGGCAGCAUAGAUUGUAGCAAUACAAUUGGUGGCGACCGGCGCACGGGUGCGUAACGCGUAUGCAACCUACCCGUCACAGGGGGAUAAUCCGGAGAAAUCUGGUCUAAUACCCCAUAACAUAUGGAUCGGCAUCGGUUCAUGUUGAAAUUUUCGGAGGUGACGGAUGGGCAUGGGUAGCAUUAGCUUGUUGGGGAGGUAACGGCUCACCAAGGCGACGAUGCUUAGGGGGACUGAGAGGUUUUCCCCCCACACUGGUACUGAGACACGGACCAGACUCCGACGGGAGGCAGCAGUGAGGAAUAUUGGUCAAUGGGCGCAAGCCUGAACCAGCCAUGCCGCGUGCAGGAUGACGGCUCUAUAAGUUGUAAACUGCUUUUGUGCGAGGGUAAAGUGGGUUACGUGUAACCUUUUGAAAGUAUCGUACGAAUAGGGAUCGGCUAACUCCGUGCCAGCCGCCGCGGUAA
RNAcentral lists this ribosomal RNA (504 nucleotides) under uncultured bacterium. Its description in RNAcentral is "partial 16S ribosomal RNA". It matches the Rfam family "Bacterial small subunit ribosomal RNA", at positions 28 to 523 of the family's 1533-position model. The record is from RNAcentral.